AGGAGGGCAACUGGAGCAGCAUGGAGGGGUGGCACCAUCUUGCUGAGUCCAGCAAGUGCCAGGUGUUUGCUCUCUCAUGGGUGCCAGUGGCUUCCAAAGGCCUUUUCAGUUUUCCCUGCUGGGUGGACUUGAAGGAGGGUGUCUCUGUAUGGGGCUAGGGCCCCAAGCUGCUCAGGCUAACUGGUCUCUCUUGCAGGGCAGUGUUGCAUCAGGCCUGAGGUUCCCCACCCCCCAUGCUUGAGUCAGUUCCCUGGCUUGGACAGUGCCCCACUCCACACAGAAGCUGCAGGCCCAGGCUGCUGCAGUGGAAGGAGCACAGCCAGCCUCCGAGGUGGGGAAGGAUGCUGGACAUUGCUUCUGCUGUCCCCAGCUUGAAGCCCAUGUCAGCCCUGGUGGAAUGGAGCUGGGCUCCGUGGGACACGGCUCAGAUUCUGGCGUGUCUGUAUCUCAGGGAUGGGACCUGCCUGGUAGGAGAGUGGGGACCCUUCUCAGCAACGGGCUCCACUGUGGGGUCAGAAAGUGGUGAUUAGUACAGGUGAGUGCAUCCCUAAGGAGCCGUGCCUGGGCUGGACUGGGCAGGAGAAAGCAGGCCCCACAGGCUGCUGGCCUCAUGGCUUCCUUCCUUCCUGCCUCAUGCACCCACUGUUUGUGGCGUGUGCUGCUGGCAGCCCUGGGGCAGGGGCUGUUUGGGGGACUGGAUCCUGAGGUCCAGGACAGCACAAGUGAUCUCUAGGAUACAGGAUGGGGCCGGAGAGGAAUGAGGCUCUCCAGCGCAGCUGCUUGCGUGGGUCACAGUGACUCAGAGCUAGGAGGCAUGUUGAGUCACGCUCUGCUGGGGCAAGCGGCAGCCUACACAAACCCGAAUGAAUGAGUGUGGCUGUGGCUGCCUGGGGCCAUACCUAAUUACAUUCAAAUUUUCCUGUCUGUAGGGGGCUCAGAGGAAUCCUCUUCCCUUUCACAGCCCCCUGCCCUGUUCUUGGCAGUCUCUCUGGGUUGUCCCUGCUGGUGCGUGUGUGCUGGGGGAAGGGCUCUUACGAGGGUGUUACCCAGGUUCAUCCUUGAGUGAGUUGCACACCAGAUGCUCUGUGCUGGGACUGAGGGGCUAGUGGGUGAAUCCUUAUCCCAGCCACUGUCGGGUGAAGAAGAUGCGUCCAAGGCAUCUCCUGGGCAGAGCUGGUAGCACCUGGAUGCCACAGACCUGCCAGACCCUUCAGUGCUGUUCUGCUUCUCUGCUGUGAAACGUUUUGGGGAGGCUGCUGGUGGUGACUGUCAGUCCAUGAGCUCAUUGUAGCUGCUGCAGGUCUCUGUGGGGAGCUCUGCUUGAGGGGUAGUGUCAGGGCCUAUAGGGGGAGUGCGGGCCAGCAGUAUGGUGCAUCUUGCCUAGCUCCAGCCAGCACCACCAAUACCCUCCCAGCUCCCCACAGGCCCAGCAGCCCAGUUGACUUUCUUUCCAGUGACUCCCAGUCCCCUCCUCAUCUGCUCCACUAGCAGCCAGGUCCCAACCCCUUGGUCCCCUGCGACACAAUGAGA
Molecule: long non-coding RNA, 1530 nt
Filed under: Crocodylus porosus (Australian saltwater crocodile)
Lineage: Eukaryota; Metazoa; Chordata; Crocodylia; Crocodylidae
Description: lncRNA (ENSCPRG00005018201.1)
Source: RNAcentral